UUGUUUGAAAGAAAAAAGCCCAAAUUUGUAAUCUGGCUCUUUUAUAGGAGUCCGAGUUGUAAUUUUGAGAACUGUUUUCUGUGCUGGACCAUAUACAAGUCUGUUGGAAAACAGCAUCAUUGAGGGUGAUAAUCCCGUAGAUGAUAUGGACUACCAGUGCAAUAUGAUACAGUCUCUAAGAGUCGAGUUGUUUGGGAAUGCAGCUCAAAGAGGGUGGUAAAUUCCAUCUAAGGCUAAAUAUAGGUGAGAGACCGAUAGCAAACAAGUACCGUGAGGGAAAGAUGAAAAGAACUUUGGAAAGAGAGUUAACAGUACGUGAAAUUGUUAAAAGGGAAACAUUUGAAGUUAGACUUGUUAUUAUUGGUUCAGCUUCUCUUUUUUAAUUAGGAGUUUAUUCCAAUGGUUGACAGACCAGCAUCAAUUUUUGAGUGUUAGAUAAGGGUCUUGGAGAAUGUGGCAACUUUGGUUGUGUUAUAGCUCCUGGCUUGAUAUAAUGCUUAAGAUUGAGGAAC
This 512-nucleotide ribosomal RNA is filed under the name Coleosporium plumeriae. RNAcentral describes it as "partial 28S ribosomal RNA". It matches the Rfam family "Eukaryotic large subunit ribosomal RNA", at positions 89 to 596 of the family's 3401-position model. Lineage: Eukaryota; Fungi; Basidiomycota; Pucciniomycetes; Pucciniales; Coleosporiaceae. The record is from RNAcentral.